This 22-nucleotide non-coding RNA is filed under the name Arabidopsis thaliana (thale cress). Lineage: Eukaryota; Viridiplantae; Streptophyta; Magnoliopsida; Brassicales; Brassicaceae. The record is from RNAcentral.
UUGGAGUCUGGCAUGUCUUCUC